Molecule: long non-coding RNA, 212 nt
Filed under: Mytilus galloprovincialis (Mediterranean mussel)
Lineage: Eukaryota; Metazoa; Mollusca; Bivalvia; Mytilida; Mytilidae
Source: RNAcentral
GGGCCGGUUUCACGAAGCUAUCCUAAGACAUGUCAUAAGACAUAUCUUAGGACAUGUCUUAUGAUCCUCUUAUGACUAUCCUAGGACAUAUCUCAGACCUCGUCUCGAAGCUGUCUUAGGAUCAUCUUAGCUAAGACAUCCUAAACCUGUCGCAAGUUCUUUAAAUUUUCAAAUAUAAAAUUGAUCUACGGAAAAAAAUCAUGUAAAUGUAG